Molecule: small RNA, 198 nt
Filed under: Branchiibius sp. NY16-3462-2
Lineage: Bacteria; Bacillati; Actinomycetota; Actinomycetes; Micrococcales; Dermacoccaceae
Also listed under: 1 other name
Description: c-di-AMP riboswitch aptamer (ydaO/yuaA leader)
Rfam family: c-di-AMP riboswitch aptamer (ydaO/yuaA leader)
About the family: This family represents a conserved RNA structure found upstream of the ydaO and yuaA genes in Bacillus subtilis and related genes in other bacteria. The ydaO/yuaA element is thought to act as a genetic "off" switch for the ydaO and yuaA genes in its native state.
Source: Rfam by way of RNAcentral
UCAGCCGGCAUGCCGAAUCCUGCCGCUGGCAGAUGAGCACAGCGUUUCCGCAUGGCAGGAGCGGGGGACCCACCUUCUGAUCGUCGUCAUGGCGAUCUCGGGGCGAAGACGACUGACGCAACGGGGAGCGUGCAGUAGUCCGGGGACCUCUUGACCCGAGCCCGACAGCUCACCUCGCAGGCAUUCAUGAGAGGUACU